This 700-nucleotide ribosomal RNA is filed under the name uncultured bacterium. Its description in RNAcentral is "bacterial SSU rRNA". It matches the Rfam family "Bacterial small subunit ribosomal RNA", at positions 59 to 806 of the family's 1533-position model. The record is from RNAcentral.
CAGUCGACGCCCCGCAAGGGGAGUGGCAGACGGGUGAGUAACGCGUGGGAAUCUACCCAGCUCUACGGAACAACCCAGGGAAACUUGGGCUAAUACCGUAUACGUCCGAUAGGAGAAAGAUUUAUCGGAGUUGGAUGAGCCCGCGUUGGAUUAGCUAGUUGGUGAGGUAACGGCUCACCAAGGCUACGAUCCAUAGCUGGUCUGAGAGGAUGAUCAGUCACACUGGGACUGAGACACGGCCCAGACUCCUACGGGAGGCAGCAGUGGGGAAUAUUGGACAAUGGGCGAAAGCCUGAUCCAGCCAUGCCGCGUGAGUGAUGAAGGCCUUAGGGUUGUAAAGCUCUUUCAGUGGGGAAGAUAAUGACGGUACCCACAGAAGAAGCCCCGGCUAACUUCGUGCCAGCAGCCGCGGUAAUACGAAGGGGGCUAGCGUUGUUCGGAUUUACUGGGCGUAAAGCGCACGUAGGCGGAUCGUUAAGUCGGGGGUGAAAUCCUGGAGCUCAACUCCAGAACUGCCUUCGAUACUGGCGAUCUUGAGUCCGGAAGAGGUGAGUGGAAACUCCUAGUGUAGAGGUGGAAAUUCGUAGAUAUUAGGAAGAACACCAGUGGCCGAACGCGGCUCACUGGUCCGGUACUGACCCUGAGUGCGAAAGCCGUGGGGAGCAAACAGGAUUAGAUACCCUGUAGUCCACGCCGUAAC